RNAcentral lists this long non-coding RNA (469 nucleotides) under Brassica napus (rape). RNAcentral's name for it is "long non-coding RNA (BNAP_LNC019924)". The record is from RNAcentral. Lineage: Eukaryota; Viridiplantae; Streptophyta; Magnoliopsida; Brassicales; Brassicaceae.
CCAUUAUAGUUGAUUACCGAUGAAAGAAAUGAAAGAGUAUAUUAGGGUUUAAAUUGAUUUUAUUUGACAGAGAUGAAAGAACUGAAAUCACAGAAGCUCAUCGUUCUCCUGAAAGCUUUUUUUCUUCUCUCUCACGUCGUUACUCUCUCUUGUCUCUCCCUCUCUGCUCUCGUUUCACUCUAUCCGCUCUCUAUCUCUCUGUCUGUUCUCGUCGUUGUUGUAUCAUGAGAAAGAAACGAACCCAAUCCAAAUUGAUUUUUUUAUGUAUGUAGUCGGAUCAGAUGAUUAUGGGUUGGGUCGGGUUUAGAUAAUGGGGAAUCGCAGCUCACAAAACGCGAUUUAAAAAUCUACAAUCACGUUUUUGAAAUUGGAUUAGAAAGGGGGAUUUGAGCAGAACAAAAAAGGAUGGGGAGAGUUGUAAAGAGAUUUUAUAUCUGUGGGUGGUUUGGUCAUGAGCUGAGUAGUAUAG